This 17-nucleotide unclassified non-coding RNA is filed under the name Arabidopsis thaliana (thale cress). The record is from RNAcentral. Lineage: Eukaryota; Viridiplantae; Streptophyta; Magnoliopsida; Brassicales; Brassicaceae.
UUCUUUGUCCGUUGCUA